GUCUUUGUGGUGCAAUGGGUCAGUGCUUCUGGCUGUUAACCAGAAGGUUGCUGGAUCAAGCCCAACCAGGGAUG
Podarcis lilfordi (Lilford's wall lizard) is the source of this 74-nucleotide non-coding RNA. NCBI's taxonomy places the organism in Eukaryota, Metazoa, Chordata, Lepidosauria, Squamata, Lacertidae. The record is from the annotation of a GenBank genome assembly.